GACGAACGCUGGCGGCGUGCUUAACACAUGCAAGUCGAACGGAAAGGCCCUGCUUUUGUGGGGUGCUCGAGUGGCGAACGGGUGCGUAACACGUGAGUAACCUGCCCUUCACUUUGGUAUAACUUCAGGUAACUGGGGCUAAUACCGUAUAGGAGCUCCUGCUGCAUGGUGGGCGUUGGAACGUUUCGGCGGGUGGGGAUGGACUCGCGGCUUAUCAGCUUGUUGGUGGGGUAGUGGCUUACCAAGGCUUUGACGGGUAGCCGGCAUGAGAGGGUGACCGGGCACAUUGGGACUGAGAUACGGACCAGACGGCUACGGGAGGCAGCAGUGGGGAGUAUGGCACAGUGGGAGGAAGCGUGAUGCAGAAACGCUGGGGGCGGGAUGACGGCCUUCGGGUUGUAAACCGCUGUAGCCUGUGACGAAGCGGGAGUGACGGUAAUGGGUAAAGAAGCACCGGCUAACUACGUG
Molecule: ribosomal RNA, 468 nt
Filed under: uncultured bacterium
Lineage: Bacteria
Description: partial 16S ribosomal RNA
Rfam family: Bacterial small subunit ribosomal RNA
Source: RNAcentral